GACAGCCCCACCUCUCUUUCUCUCCCCUGUGGUAACCCUGAUUGGGCCCUGCCUCUCUAGGAGCUGUGUGCAAAUUCUGCCUUCCCCGGGAGUCUGAGCUGUACCAGAAAGAGGUGGCGCACCUGGGCGCCCUUGAGGAGCGGUUCUCCCGCCUCUGGACGCAAUGCCAGCGCUGCCAGGGCAGUCUGCAUGAGGACGUGCUCUGUACCAGCCGAGAUUGUCCCAUCUUCUACAUGCGGAAGAAGGUACAGAAGGAUCUGGACGACCAGGAGCAGCUCCUGGCUCGAUUCGGGCCCCCGGGCCCGGCCACCUGGUGACAGAGGACGCGGCUGUGGACGUUGGCAUCAAUAAAGCUGUGGGGCUUUGGGUUC
RNAcentral lists this long non-coding RNA (371 nucleotides) under Vombatus ursinus (common wombat). RNAcentral's name for it is "lncRNA (ENSVURG00010004151.1)". The record is from RNAcentral. Lineage: Eukaryota; Metazoa; Chordata; Mammalia; Diprotodontia; Vombatidae.